CACAGAAUUAUACGCAUAUUAUAUGCAUGUGUGUUGUGCUUAUUAACAUGCAGAAAGUAACAGCUUAUGCUUUUCUCUCUAGAGUUGUGUUCUCAAAACUCAGCAAACCACACGUGACUGCAAUUGGUAGCUCCAGGCACCCGACUUGUAUGGGCAGGAACAGCGUGAUCUGGUGGCACAUGGGGUAUUUCUGCCCUGUAGUUGAUGCCCUUGGGUACAGGCACUGUCUGCCAACCCACAGCCAUAAGAGAGAAGUAGGUCCAUCUCAUUUUCCUGGGAAAUUAGCAGUACCAAGAACUGCCUCUUUGAUAUUGCUUUGCAGACUGACAGCAGAAGUUAUGCAUAGCUACGUGCCUGUAGCUGCCCUAGUUUUUGGCAGCAUCAGAAAAACCUGGACAAGAAAGGGGCAGUAGGCUGCUGUGCCUUAUCUCAGCCCUGGUUCUUAUGCAGGAUGAAGCUAUCUUGUCCCUUCUGCUCCAGCCAGCAGCACUAACAAGGCUCUCUGGUGCUCACUGCUUGUUUGUGCUGAUCUGUGGAGGCCUGUCAAGUCUCCCAUGUGGAAUGUGAGCUGACUUUAUGCUGACCCACAACAAGGGUGGUGCCUCAUGGUGGCCCCCUGGCCCAUGAGCCAUAGGCAGCUGAGCCAGCAGUGCUGAGGGGGACGGAGGGGCUGGAGAAGGCAGGACCGAAGCUGUGGUGUGGUACAGCUCCUCUCAGCCCUGUGGCCACCGGUAUCUCCCUGUGCUUCACCCAACCUGAACAGCUCCCAAACUAGUUCUGUGGUUCUCUAGGCUCUGUGUGCCUCUAGGAUGGCCCCUUAGAGAAGGACUCAGCAGCUGUGACCCAGCACCCCUUCCCAUCCCCUGCAAUUACCUGAGGAGGCAGCCUGCCUUUGUGCUGAGCUGCUGGUAAACUCCCAGUGGAUCCUUUGCUGUGUUAAAAGUGGGAGUGUGUGUGAAGUGAACCUGGUUCCAGGGUUUUCCCCGAUACACCCAGUGCUGGCUCUGACUUUGAUCAGCAAAGGGUAGCCACCAGAGGAGGGUGUUUAUUUAUUUUAUUUUGGGUCAGGACUUGAGUGUCUGUGGUGGGCAUCUUCAAAAGCUGCGCUAGCCCCAGCUGCUGUGCAGAUAAUGAUGAGUUGCUCUUUGAAGUUGGGAUCUGUCUGCCUGGUGUGUCAAGCCCUGCUGGCACUGAAGAUCUUUCCUUUGGGAUCAAGGUCUCGUCUGCCCCUGUUAAAUUAUAUGCCAGGCACAAAGCUGCAUUCCUCUUAGGCUGAAAACAAUACAGACUGCAACAGUCCUGCUGAACAGCUUGGACAAGUCCACAAAACUAAAGGGGAAAGUGGGGCUGAACAUUAUGUAGGUCACACUCUUGCCUGGCCAUAAGUAUUAUCUUGGAAGAGUAAAAGGGGGAACCCUAUUAAUGUCUUUUUGCAUGAGGUGCUUUGGUGUCUCCCUGGGAUGGGGCAAAUGGCCAAGCUUCCCGAUUGAAAGGUUUUAAGGUUCUGCAGACCUAUUACCAGGAGCAGAGGCCAUCUGCUUCUCCACUUCUCCUUUCAAAAGCUGUCUGGUUCUCCGGAGCCCUUUUUACACUCACUUGCUUUUUUUCUCCGUAGUUGGAGCUGGCUUAAGCUAAAGCAUCUCUUGGAAACCCUUUACUCAUUCAUGAUCGUACAGCCCAUCUCCUUGCUGAGCUCGCCCAAGCCACCCUGUAGCAGUAUUGCAGCGGAGGUUAGUGGGGUUGUACCUUGUAGGAUUUUUAUCUGAGUUCCCAUAGAACCUUUAUCUCUGGAAAGAAGGAAAAGUGCCAGAAUUGUGUGACAGACUGUGUCCCAGUCUGAAAAUGCUCCAACUCUGAAAAUCCAGGUCCACACCCCUGCAGACAUAAAUGAGCACAACUCCACAGGCUUUGGCAGGGCAACACCAGCUGCCGGCACUGAUUUUCACUAAUAAGGAUAUUUGCUUGCCGGGCAAAUACAUCCGUUUAUACCAGUGAAAACCCAAGGUGACUUCCACCUAGCUACUCCGACAUGUACCGCUGUGACAGUGGUGUGUGCAGGGCUGUAUUAUCUCAGGACCUGGCUUUCUGUGCUGCUGUACCCUUCCCAGCUGGCCACGGUGUAAUGAACCAGCUUCAGGGCUCACAGGUGAGAGGAUUCACUUCAGACCAUGCUCACCCUGCAGCUCAGGGUGUUGUCGACAAGAACCACCAGCACUAAUUGUUUUAUUGUCAUUAUUUUCAUGGUCUCUGUGCUAAGUAGAGGCAAAACUGCAAAUACCUUACUGCAGAAACAUGAAGAUCUUAAUGAUGCCACCAUAUUUUCACUAAAGGGGAUGCUCCAAUUUCAGUUUUGGAGAAGAUGAAGGGUUUGAAGAGUGGCAGAGGAAAGUCACGCUACCCAUAUAAAGUGAAUAACCUAUUUGUGAUCCUUCAGCCUGCUGGUGUUUCUAUAAGGGCAAAAUGAUUUUGCUACCAGUCAGAUAUUGGAAACUUUUGUUAAAAUCCUUAUAAAUCUUUAAUGCUACUAAAGAGCUCUAGUCAAGCAUCCUUAAGGCAGUUGAGCCGCAAGUAACUGUGUUGGGCCCUCCUUUACUGUGAGAUUCUUCAUUCUUCCUCCACCAGAGCUGCGGGCAAACCCACGGUGCUUUGGUUACUCUGUGUGUUUGACCCAAUUACUGUACAGUAUCUGUCAGAUGAGAGCAGCAUAUAAUACAGACGUGCCUGAUCUGGAAGCUAAUUAGUAUUUCCUUUGUGACUUGGGAGCAGGGUGAGAAGGAGGUGGGAAGAGGGGGAUACAGUGAAGAAAGUAUUUCAGGAGCGUGCACUAGUUUUAAUUUCAAGCAUGACUGCGGUCAUUUCUUCCCACAGUUUGAUGCUGAACUUGAAAAAAUAAUCUAUCUAUAUAUCUAUCUACCUACACACAUGUGUGUGCAUAUAAAAAGAAAGAAAUAUAUCUGGAAAAUCGGUGGAGUUUAGAGUGAUGGCAUAUAAUUAAAGAAACAAUCUGUAGCAUAAUAGACUAAGCUGCUCUCACUGUCAGUGAAGAGAGCUAAUGAACCUUUUAUGGACCAGAAAAGAAACAGUGGUGGCAAUCUCACUCUCUAGCUGAUUUGCACUAGCUAGGGAAUGACUUUUAGCCCCAGGCUUGAGAAACGAGUUUUGGGAAGAGCCAUAAUUUCAGUGUCAGUGCUGCCUGGAGGACAUGAAGCACCCUUUACACACUUUGUACGCAAGCUCCUGCUGACCAAGGGUGCCUUAACCCUGAUGGAUCCCUAGGGCCAAGGCCAAGGGUGCACCAUGAAGUAUCAUCUGUAGAUCUGCUGUGUGAGCAGCUCUGAAAACAGGAGGGGUAACAGAUUAUGUACCAACCCCCUCGGCUUGAUGCUACAAAACUGAUUAGUACAUGCCCAGAGUUGUGUGACUUGCUGUACUAGCAAUAUAGAACUGGUUUAGCAAAACUCACUUAGCAUUAGUAGCUAAAUUUGCUGAAGUUAGGCUGCAAGCUGUGAACUUUCACCUAGAUAUGUUGAACUUUACCUAGUCAAGUAAAAGACGGUGGUCCAAUCCAGAAGAUAAGGAUGCUACAUGCAUUAACAGAAGCUGCGACAUUAGAGGUAGGAAAAGAAACAGCCCCCCUAGAGACAAUGAAAGGACCCAAUGAAGACCGGGAAGACCCCAGACCCUAAUAUUAUUACUGGUCCGAACUGUUGCAUGAGGGGUGGGGAAAUUGGAUUGUAAAGGGUAUAAUUGCCCAGGGAUGUCUUUGUUUGAGGUCCUCCUUCAGAGGCACCCAGCUCAAGCUCCAGUGCUAUUGAUUAAAAGGACUUUUCUAGAAGAAUCUUUUUUUGGCUUAUUGAUUCAGCAGAAACCUAGAGUGGAAACCCUGUUAUGGUGGCUGGCAUGUGGAAUUCCCAUAACACCAGCAAACACACCAUGCCCCAGGCUCACUCCCCAUAUCGGAUGGACCAUACUCUGCACAGACAAUGAAUAUACGUAUAUCCCCAGGAUAUAAGGGACUUACCAUGCAUAUGGUAUAGACACAACAUAUAUGUGCUAAAGGGUCAUUUAUCCAGGAUUUCUGUCCAGCUUGGGUCCGUGGGUGACCCACGAUGCAGGAGCCGGUAAGUCUGUAUUUGCAGGGGACGUGUUAAUUAAUAAGGGGCUUCCCUGGAGUGAUCAAAAAAGACCCAACACCGUGCAAGGGAGCACAGGCUAGGAGAAGUGCUGCCUCUCAGACCAGACGUCAGUCCAGAGCUUUGAUGUUUAACAACCAUUAAAAUGGAAAAAGCCAUUUCUCAGAAGGAUAAUAGCCAUUUGGCUGAGUUCUCCGUUGGGCAAUUCCACAUGGGCUUCUGGCUGCUGUAACGUUUACUGAGGUUUUGAAAUUCUCUCUGCUAAACAGAGACAAUAUUGCAAACACCUUAUUGUGGAAAUGUCGAGAUUUUUGUGAUACUAGUAUAUUUCUCUGAAGUAUAUUUGUGCUGCAUUUCCAGCUCUGGAUCAUCCUAUUUGCUCUGAAAAGCUGUUCUGCUGUAGCUCUGGAUGCUGCAUGGUUAGGAAAUGGUAUCUUGUCUGAAAAUAUUCCUAGGCAGGGAACAGCGUAAUGAAAAACUUGGCCAUGUUUUAUGGCAAAAACUUUUUUCCAGAGGAGUCGUUCAGAUUUAGAGGCAGCAGAAUGCUUAUUGCUGGUAUUGUCAAUUUAUUUGUGUAGAAAUCAGACAAGCAGCCGUUUUGCAAAGCACUUAAAUUGCCCCUUUCCCUGCUUUUCAGAAUUAAAUCUUUUGGCUUUUUGAUUUGAAUGGAAUUUUGAAUUUUAACAGUGACAUUUAAGCAAAAAGCCUUUUACUAGAGAAUCCCUUAAAGAAAACAUUUGAAGCUGAGACUGAAAGUGUUAUUUACCUGUAAACAAUGUUUUUGAACCAUUGAUUACCUUUCAUAUUUUUUUAAAUGGAAUUAGCUUUAUCUUUACAUUAUAUUUUUUUCUGUCUGAAUUGUGCACAAGCUGGAAAAGCAAUGUUCUUGGAGCUCUAUUAGUAAGUGUUAUGAGAGCCUGUGGGCUGCAACUGAUGAAAAGCUACUUUAUAAGUAGAACUUCAGAUUAUUCUGUAUACUUAGGAAAUGUAUUUUUUCCCCUCUGACUUGUGCUACUGCAUUGAUAUGGGAAAGUGGCAUAUUUUGCUUUAGGUACUAGAAACUUAUAUUUGAAGAUGCAACUAUAAAUUUGCUUUUUCCUGCUGUUGAAAUGAGGAGGGAAAAAAAAUAAUCUGUGGGUUUUUUUUUUUUCCUGUUCAGGCAGAUCUGCCUGGCUUGUCAGAGAAAUAUGCAAACCCUUUUUGAGGUUUUGUAUUCCCUGGAGUCUCCAGAUUGGAGGGACUUAGACCUUAAAAUGUAAUUUUGCUGACAUUACUGGCUGUAUAAUUGCAUCUGGAAUGGGUUUGUAGCCAUGAUGCCCACAUGGACAUAGCCCUUGUUGAGGCAGCUGAGUGUGUUUGUUUUCCAGAUGGACACAAGGGACAUCCCUUAGUGAAACAGCGAAUGGUCCCUGACUCGUGUCACUCCUGACUGUGCCUGGACUAUAUGAGAAAUGCUGGAUGGGGAGUUGCCCUGGGCCAAAACUGUAACAAGAGUCUUUCUCAGGGUUUAACAGCACAUGGGAGACUGCUAGAGUUUGGUCACUGGUAAAGUUGUUGCUGGAGAGUUUAUCCUGGUUUUUUUCUCAGAUCAGACUUCUCCAGUGCACCAGCCUGCUCUGGAGGGUUUAUCUUUGUAGCUCAUGAGGAAAGAAGGAUUUGCUUCCAGUGACAGCACAGAACAGAGUCUGGAGAGAUCUGGUGUUAAAACCUACCUCUUUCGGGGUCAACAAUUAAUGUAUUUGCUAAAUUAUAUCAUGAGUCAUUCCAUCAUCUGUAAAUUAUGAGAGUGGUAGUUUUGUUUUCUCAUCUUCCUUGAGACCUUCAGAACAGGUAUCUGGAGGCACCCAAGGCAUCCAUAAGAGGAUGGAAGUUAUGAUGCUGAUGCAAUGAGAGACCUGUGUUCUCCUGGAGCAAUAUUUGGGGCCUGGUGAUAUACCCUGAAGCAUCUCAAAUGGCAAGAGACACUUCUGUGCGGGUAGCUGAACUAAGUCUGCUUCUCAAAAGCAGUGAUCACGUCCAUAACAAGGCUGCCCACAGGUGAGUUUCAGGUAUGAACUAAGAUACUCCAAGGCUUUUCAAGGCUUGAAUUGGAAGGCUGGGCUGGCAAACCAUCAGUGGAUUAACUCAGUGGGUUUUCUUUUUUUUUUUUUAAUACGGCUGAUUGCCUGAAUACAAGAAGGAAGGGAUUGCUCUACACCAUUUUCUUUGACAAAGAAGUCACUUGCAAAAUUCAGCUUAAUUUCAGAGCAGCCCAGAUUGAUGAUUUCAUCACAAAAUAGUCAUGACAAUGCAUAAUCAUGGGCUUGAGUAUAUUUACAAAUGAACAAAAGAUGAGACCUUUUCUAGUGAAUAAUAGAGGGCACAGAUACAUUCAAAAUUAUUCUGCCUUUCUUUAGAUAUGUACUUAAAAGAACCAUCUUUAUUCCAGCUCCUUUAACUUUUUUUUUUUCCCCCAUAGGAGAAUCAGGGUUUUGCCCAGGUUGCUUGAAUAAAGAGCUGUUUCUAACACUUGCAUAUUGAUGCCUACAGCAUUGCAAAUGUAAUGUAUGCACCUCAUUUAUAUGAAUCAUUUAAGAGCAUAGAUCCAUAGAAGAACAUAGAAAGAUUAGCCUCUAUAUUUGAUCCAAGUCCUAAUAAGGCCAAUGGAGAGACUCAUCAGGCAUUUCUCCUAGACCAUCUCUGCCUUGUAACUGGAAAGGCUACUGCCUACUAUGGUUGGACUAGGGUGCAGAAGGUACUGGUUUUGUUCCUGACUUUGACCACUGGGUAGCCUUUAACUAGUUGUGCUGUUCCCUUAUGACUCCAGUUUUUCUACCUGAAAAAGAAAACAAAUGCUAAUGAGUUCCUUGGAAAAUGAUUUGAGGUGAGUUCCCAACAGAUCAGGGUCAUUAACUACUCCUUAAAGUGAGGUCAUCAAAAUUAAUGCUUAGGUGGUGGUUAACCCUUGAUAGAUAUAAUCAGCUGCUGAUAAAACCCAAAGCCACUCCAGGCGGAGGUAUUUUAGCUGCCUUGUUCAAAAUUAACUUUGCUACCUGCAGGACACAGUAUUUUGCUGUAGAAACUUGCUCCAAAUUUCAUGAAAGAUGUCUUUGUGAAAGCACUGGCUCUUCUGCUGAUGGCAACGUACAACCUCACAAGCCAAUGCAGCCCUCCUGGAUUCAAUAAAGUAGGUGUUCAGUUAUCUCCCACCCUUGCACAGCCUGAUUAAUUUGGCAUUUUGGGAAACUGUCUGCUAGCUUUGGGUUCACGUGGAAAUACACCCAGGAAGGAGGGUGGGCAGCAUCCCUCUGGGUAAAGCCCUCACCUAAGCUGUGUGAGGCUAAAAGCUUGACUCCAGUCUGAAAACUGCAGGCAGCAAGCUGAAUGCCCUCGUGUGGCUUAGUUACCAGGCUUACAGCUGGAUGCUUGGUACACGGGUGGAAGUUGAUUCAUUCUUAUAAAUAUUGGAGUAAAAAAUAUCAAGGGAAGUUUUAGGCUUUUUUUUUUUUUUUUUUUUUUUUAGUGAGCACUUUUAUAUGGUGCCUCUUGCUGAGACCUAACUAAUCACCCAAGGAAAAAAUGAGUGCCAUUGAUUCAGUGAAUGAAAAUGUAAAUAGAGGAAGAGAUGUCAGUGAUGAAUUUGACAUCUGCGUUAUCUUCCAAAGCAUGAUUUGUGCUAAUUGAGCUAGAUGAGAGUUCUCAGUAUCUGAGGACAGCAGCAGAGAUAAUGUUCUCUGUUGCCCAUUCAGGAGGAUGAGAAAGACUCAGUACAACACUGCAGGACAGGGCUUCUGAGGAGGUGUUUGAAUUAGGGGUGCAUCCAAGCCAGGAAGCCCACAGAGGACGCUGCAGCACGAUGUAGAUUGGCUGAGAUGCACCAAAUGGCACUGUUGGCCACACAGACGAGUUCUCCAUUAACGCAGCAUGUUUGAAAGAAGCAGCUUGAACUUGGAUGGAGAGCUCUACAUCUCAUGAGGUGGCCUUUUGCCAUGUCUCUGCACAAGCCUAGGUUUCCCUACAUGUAAAGGAAUGGGCUGCAGUCCUGACCUCCCUCAAAGCACGCCUUGUGGCUCCUGGCUGGGCAGCUCUGUGCUGCAGCUCUGUUAAACCUCGUGAGCAUCUUCUCAAUGAUUUCAAGCAUAAUUCAGCCAUUGCUUGCUACCACUGGGUCAAGACCUUAACCGUGACACCCUUUGAAUUUCUGCAUGAUCUGGAAGUUGCCACCAAUCACCGGGAAACUGGGAAAUAUCUAAAUCUCAAGUGUCUGACUUUCAGUUGGCUUUUUUGGGGGUGUGUUUGUGGAAAUGUUCUUUGAAGGUACUAUGAAAUACGUAAUUUUUUCUGCAGAAUCUAUGAGGACACAAGCUGUCCUAGCCCGUUUCUCUCAAGGGUGGGGAAUGAGCCCCUGACCCUUGCAUUUAGCAGUGCAGACAUGAGCAUGCUGAUGAGGGCACUGGUGAGGUUGCAUGGUCAGCUGCUUCUUCAGCAGGAGCAUGUUUCUCCAUCUGUGCUUCCCUCUGACAUCCCAUAGCUUUGUGGACACCACACAAUUAUGCCCUGUGAUGGUUUUUUUCAGUCCAGAGCUGGUUUGGAGAAGCAGCAUCAUCACUCAUGUGGGUUGCUGCAAGGCAGAGGGGCAGCAGGGAAAGGCAAAGCCGGACUAUAGCCAUUUUUGCUAUCGAAAAGACAUCUGCUGCUUGAGGUGACUGACCCUUUUGCAUCCUAUGUUCCUUGACAGUGUGAGGGACUGAGCCAGGAGAAAAACUUCCAGCAACAAACCUUUCAUCUGUUGCAUGAAAGUCCUCAUCUGGCUUUGGUGUUUUGAGUGCAAUGGCUCAACUAUGCAAGGUCACCAUCCUGAGAGCAGCCACUUCCCUCCCCCUCCCACUGCCUCCUGCAUUUAUGGGCAGUGACGUAAUGUGCAAGAGUGUUUACAUCCUCCUUAAGAGUAACCGUCUACAGAAAAUAAAACAGGAAAAAAUGCAGCUCUAGCACUGUCACUUCAGUUCUUUGAUAACCAUAUGCAAGGAAAUAAAAUUAAUAUAUUCCCAGGUUACUCGCCAGCUGCAGUUCAACUUGAACUGAGGGAGAGGGGGUCUCAAAACCAUGUUGAAAUGGCAGGUGGCAGUGGCUAACCAUUCCCUGUUCCACCAGAGGCAAGCAGCACCUGUUAUUAGUUGCCUUUUCCAGACAGUCGUUCGGAAGGUGCAGGAGCAAGUGGUUUGAGCCUUAGUGAAGAAGCUGAAGGCAGAACCUUCAUGUCCAGGAAGAUGGAGGCAAUGGAGAAGGUGGAGGAAAUCAGUCGGUGUGUGGACAUCCUAAAAGCCAUAGAUCUUGGCUGUAUCUUCAGCUAUGGUCCUGGUUCUCCCACAGUGGCAGCUUUAUCCAGAGUUUGACGUAAAUUUUUUUCUGUUUGGAAGCUUGGAAACCGUAGUGUUGUCCUUGGGCUGUACUGCCUUGUCCCUUGUCACUACCAGUAAAUUAUGAUUCAGAUCAAUAUAUUCUGUACCCACGUAAAAAAGACUCCUUUUUAUGUAGUGCUCACAGUCACGAUAAAUCACAUCACGCAACAGCAGGUGGAUUGUCCUGGCUUGUCAUUACACAUUGCCAUUGCUGACAUGUCCAGCUGAGAUAAUCCGAGUAAACCCUUUGUAUUCAAAGCAAGAAAUAGGCACUUUGGGUGAGAUUUUCAGCUGCCUAAACACAGGCUUGAAGAGUCAUAGUAGAUGCUGUGAGGUUUUCUUCCCCGAGUACAGCUGUCCUUACAAAGCGAUGUGUAUGUGAUGUAAGUCGCGUGUUACCUCUGUUCCCUUGUAGAUGUCUGCAACACUUUGGGGGCCUCAUGUGGCGUUAGACACAAUGGAGUCCUAUUAAUGUAUAAUUAAUCUGAUGUAAUUUAGCUGCCUGCUUGAGAUGAAAUGAUUAUAUUGCUGGUGCAUUGCUUAACGUUGACCAGAUCUCCAGUGACUAUAAAGAGAACUUCACUAUAAAAGUGCAAUCGGGGAAAUCAAAACAACAUAAUCCCAGCUUCAAUAGAUUAAUAGUAAUGUUGAAAUUUGGCCCUGGGAAUUUUGUCGGUCAUAGCCAGUUUCACAGACCCUGAGCCACGUUGCUUCUUUUUUUGGGGGCCAUGAAAUUCAUAUGUGAAUAAGUGCCCCCCUAUAACUCUGUAUCUGAGGACAGAGUUAGUAGAGAGAAACACACAUCUCUUGUCACAUGUGCAGAAGGAAAAAUGGAACAAGCAAAGGUCUGAUUUGUUAUUGCUCCCAUCUGGAGGGUAAACCUGACAUUUCUAUCUGCCAAUAGCAAUUUAUUGUGAAGCAAACCCACAGGGAAGGUUUCUUCGUGCUAAAUCAACCAGCAAAAGAAAUGAACCUUAUGUUACAACCGAAUAAGAAACUUAAUCACAGUCUACAUGUCUGGGUGCAUAAGUAAUUUAAAUACAUGCAGCUGCAAUUUCAAUAUAUUAAACCAAAACCUCCCAAACAGCCCCGUGCAAAAGAAAAACUAACACUCCGUUAGUAAAGAAAUGGAAUAUAUUCAAGUGCAGUUUUGUUCUCAUAUGAUCUUUGGGGAGAGAAAGAACUUUUUAUGACCUACAAGGAAAAUUACUAUGUUAAUGAUCAUCUGGUGGUUCUUCUAUCCCAGCUAAUAUCUCUUUACUGGAGCCAUGGUCAAACUCACUCUCUGCUGAACCCACGUUGCCCAAAACAUUAUUCUAAAGAGUGUUGUCAAUGAGGCAAGGUCAGGAGUUUUAGGUAUAUUAUUAUAUAUAUAGGAGGUAGCAAAUGUUUUCUUUACUUCUUUGAAAAGCUCUGAAUUUGUAUUUUACUUACAAAUGGUAACCUUCCCUGAGUGCUAAUGUAGUAAGGGUAAUUAUGUAAUAAAAAAAUAAUAAAUAAAAAAAUAAAAAAAUUUGGUAAUAAAAAAAAAAAGGACAAGCAGCAAUGUUCUUUCUGCUUGUAAGUAUAGUUUUAUAUUAUAAUACUCAAGGUUUUCAUACUGGGUGGUCACCAAAAAAUUCUUAUUACAAAAAUUUCUAUUCAGUAUUAAUAUAGAACAUAGCCAAGCAACAAUUUUGGUUUUUAAGGGAAGAAUAUUGGGUAUACCGUGAGGCUUACAGGUGUGUCUUUCAAGCAAAACUGUAAAUAUUGCUGUUUCCUCCUCCAGCUUUGAUUUGAAAUGAGUUUGUGUAGCGUCUUCCUCUUCAUCAUCGUAUCUUUUUAUUGGCAUUUCCUCCCACAAUACACAUUUUCAUUCACAAGAGCUUGUUACUAAUUUUUGUGUUAACUGAUUUGACAGGAACUAGACCCGCUGUGUCUCAGAGGGUCAAGGGCAGCUUUGGAUGCUGGUGAUCCAUCCGUUCAUUGAACGUCCAGGUUCCCCUUGGCAACGUCUCUGUAGCCAUCACCUUAGACCUUUGCAGUUCACAUCCAUUGGGAAUUUCUAAACCCUUCUUUACAGUUUGCGUGCAAUGCAUGCUGGGAGGGGGGGGGGGCUUUGCAUGGUGGGACAUUUUGUCCCUUUCAAAGAGAAGAAUUGGUAUUCCACUGUCUGCUCUGUCUUUCAGUUUCCAAAGUCCUAAAUCAGACAAUGUGGAGUUAUUUGAGUAUAUUAUGUCUCUCAGUUGCCUCAGUGCACCUGCUGCACCUGGACAGAUGCAUUUCCCCCGAAACUGAAUUAACUACAUUGACAUCAGCUCCCUGGAAAGGCGUUCAAAUGAGUGGCUCUGACAUUAACGACUGCGUAAUAGAUACGUAAAACUGGGUGAGAGGAAUUUCACCCAGAAAGUCAAUAUUCAAUAACAAUUGCUCUUUUCUUUCUGUUUACAAAGCUGACAAUUGUUUUUCACACUCUGGUCCACUUCACAGAGAGAAAACAGUGAUGCUCUGUGUGCAAGGAAAUGUGGUUUUUUUCAGCUUCUUGCCUCCGUAGGGAGACAAGGGUGUUGCGGAGAGAGGUGCUGGGUGGAAGGUGUUUCCACAUGUGGUGGCUAAAUGCAACCUGUGGUUGAAUGGGGGGUGUCAGAUGCAUUCUCCUGGCUGAUGGUAGGGGUUUGUACCUGCCUUGUUCAGAUUGUAUGAAGAAAGCAAAGCUAUUUAACUGAAGUCCUCACCUCUGAGGAGGUCAGAAGAGGUUCAGAAUAAUGAGAAGCUGCGUUGUCCACCUCACCAAGUUGUACUGCAUUAUUUUUAAUUUGCUUUCCUUCUGGUUCAUGAAAAGAAAACAACUUUGGUAAUGAGUUUCUGCAGCCAGAUUCUCUGUACAAUAGUGAGGACUUUGUAAUUUAUUUUCAUCGCUGAAGUGCCUCAUACCUAUGUGUCAUACUACACUUCACCAGCACUUUGCAAAUUCUUUGCUUUUUCAAGUACUUGUUUUUCUUUUGACAAGAGAUAUGUUCUAGCUGAGUGUGUGUGAUCCACUUGGAACCCAUCUCAAAUGCUCCCUAGGAAUUUCUCCCUUGCCAGAGUAAUUGCUACUUUACUCUUUGACUUAAUAACGCCUAAAAAUCUUUUUCACUGUGAAAAGGCCAUAGCACUUCAGAUAAUAUUGAAUCUGAAGAAUUUCACUCUUGUUCAAGCCUUGGGAAACUUCUAGAACUGGAAUAUUAUUAUGGAUCUAAACAGCUCUCAAAGAACAUUCCAUUAAUUUACAUUCUGCAGUCUAAUUAGAUUGGCAUUUAAAUAAUGAGAGUUACUGAAUUAUGUAUGUAUCUUUUGUUGACGUUAGGAAAGGUGCCCAUUGACUCUUACCGCUGCUUAGCUCCACAGAUACAACCCUUGUGCUUCUUCUGCCACAAAAAUGGCAUCUGUACAUACAUAUUAUUAAUCUAUAUACAAAUUAAUCAUCAUGUACAUAAAAAUGAGCUGAUUUAGUAGGACGUUGCAGCAACCAGAAUUAAUUUUGCUCACCAUUUUGGAAACUUCACCCAUGUAGAAAGAUUACUGUAAAUAAACUAACUGCUAAGGCUUCCAAAGAGUUGAAUUUUUCUUACAAGUGGCCACCUUAGACAGCAGAGGUUACUCACCCAGCCCAUAUGAUGUUCUGAGAGGAUGGCCCAGGCUCCAGCUCUUUGGGUUCGGUUGUUUUGCAUAAUGUUACACUUUGUUUUGAUGUCUUAAGUCUUUCCUAACUUGAAUAAAUACCUAAUUUCAGUUGUGAAUUAGACAGACCUGUGAUGCCCUGUAAAGAAGAUUGUGCAUCUAAAAGAUGUACCAUUUGCAAAAUCUACUGCAACAGAGCUCAGCGCCUCAGGUUAGUGAUUAGAACUGACCAGGCUGGAAAAGGGGUGGGAGACCAUGAGCACCAGUUUCUUCCAGUUACAGAAAGUUAUAACGCAGCUGGAAAGAACUGAGGGAUUUCAUAUUCUUCUGUUUAAACCCUAGUAAAUAAAUAAGUCUAAAUCAUCUAUGCCCAAUUAAAAGGACUCAUUCUUGAAGAUCCAGGUUGUUGCUCUCACUACCUAGUUGCUCUGGCUGUAAGGUGAGUUAGUGGAAAAGAGACUAUUGACUUUUCUUCUUUUUUUGUAAAUGCAUUUGAGUUUACCUUGGUUUUUUUCACCUCCCCCUUUUUUUUUUAAUAUAAUUUCAAAUAUCAG
Molecule: long non-coding RNA, 13710 nt
Organism: Falco peregrinus (peregrine falcon)
Lineage: Eukaryota; Metazoa; Chordata; Aves; Falconiformes; Falconidae
Exons: 4
Source: RefSeq, a predicted model, not a curated record